This 422-nucleotide ribosomal RNA is filed under the name uncultured bacterium. RNAcentral's name for it is "partial 16S ribosomal RNA". It matches the Rfam family "Bacterial small subunit ribosomal RNA", at positions 359 to 773 of the family's 1533-position model. The record is from RNAcentral.
GAAUUUUGGACAAUGGGGGCAACCCUGAUCCAGCCAUCCCGCGUGUGCGAUGAAGGCCUACGGGUUGUAAAGCACUUUUGGCAGGGAAGAAAAGGCUCCGGCUAAUACCUGGCGCUGCUGACCGUACCUGCAGAAUAAGCACCGGCUAGCUACGUUCUAGCAGCAGCGGUAAUACGUAGGGUGCAAGCGUUAAGCGGAAUUACUGGGCGUAAAGCGUGCGCAGGCGGUUCGGCAAGAAGGAUGUGAAAUCCCAGGGCUUAACCUGGGAACUGCAUUCUUAACUGCCGGGCUAGAGUAUGUCAGAGGGGGGUAGAAUUCCGCGUGUAGCAGUGAAAUGCGUAGAGAUGCGGAGGAAUACCGAUGGCGAAGGCAGCCCCCUGGGAUAAUACUGACGCUCAUGCACGAAAGCGUGGGGAGCAAAC